This 443-nucleotide ribosomal RNA is filed under the name uncultured bacterium. RNAcentral's name for it is "partial 16S ribosomal RNA". It matches the Rfam family "Bacterial small subunit ribosomal RNA", at positions 338 to 795 of the family's 1533-position model. The record is from RNAcentral.
CCUACGGGUGGCAGCAGUGGGGAAUAUUGGGCAAUGGGCGCAAGCCUGACCCAGCAACGCCGCGUGAAGGAAGAAGGCUUUCUGGUUGUAAACUUCUUUUGUCAGGGACGAAGCAAGUGACGGUACCUGACGAAUAAGCCACGGCUAACUACGUGCCAGCAGCCGCGGUAAGACGUAGGUGGCAAGCGUUAUCCGGAUUUACUGGGUGUAAAGGGCGUGUAGGCGGGACUGCAAGUCAGAUGUGAAAACCACGGGCUCAACCUGUGGCCUGCAUUUGAAACUGUAGUUCUUGAGUACUGGAGCGGCAGACGGAAUUCAUGGUGUAGCGGUGAAAUGCGUAGAUAUUAGAAGGAACACCAGUGGCGAAGGCGGUCUGCUGGGCAGCAACUGACGCUGAGGCGCGAAAGCGUGGGGAGCAAACAGGAUUAGAUACCCUAGUAGUC